UACGGGGGGAGCUAACGUUGUUCGGAUUUACUGGGCGUAAAGGGGGCGUAGGCGGCCUGACAAGUGGGGAGUGAAACCCUUCGGCUCAACCGAAGAACUGCUUUCCAAACUGUCGGGCUUGAGUCCGGGAGGGGAGACGGGAAUUCCUGGUGUAGCGGUGAAAUGCGCAGAUAUCAGGAGGAACACCGGCGGCGAAGGCGCGUCUCUGGACCGGUACUGACGCUGAGGCCCGAAAGCGUGGGGAGCAAACAGG
RNAcentral lists this ribosomal RNA (253 nucleotides) under uncultured bacterium. Its description in RNAcentral is "partial 16S ribosomal RNA". It matches the Rfam family "Bacterial small subunit ribosomal RNA", at positions 524 to 776 of the family's 1533-position model. The record is from RNAcentral.